RNAcentral lists this ribosomal RNA (469 nucleotides) under uncultured bacterium. RNAcentral's name for it is "partial 16S ribosomal RNA". It matches the Rfam family "Bacterial small subunit ribosomal RNA", at positions 28 to 507 of the family's 1533-position model. The record is from RNAcentral.
GACGAACGCUGGCGGCGUGCUUAACACAUGCAAGUCGAACGGAAAGGCCCUGCUUGCCGGGUGCUCGAGUGGCGAACGGGUGAGUAACACGUGGGUGAUCUGCCCCUUACUUUGGGAUAAGCCUGGGAAACUGGGUCUAAUGCUGGAUAGGACCAUGCUGUAGGUGGUGUGGUGGAAAGAUUAGUUUCGGUAAGGGAUGAGCUCGCGGCCUAUCAGCUUGUUGGUGGGGUAAUGGCCUACCAAGGCGUCGACGGGUAGCCGGCCUGAGAGGGUGGACGGCCACAUUGGGACUGAGAUACGGCCCAGACUCCUACGGGAGGCAGCAGUGGGGAAUAUUGCACAAUGGGCGCAAGCCUGAUGCAGCGACGCCGCGUGGGGGAUGACGGCCUUCGGGUUGUAAACUCCUUUCAGCCAUGACGAAGCCCUUGUGGUGACGGUAGUGGUAGAAGAAGCACCGGCUAACUACGUG